RNAcentral lists this ribosomal RNA (967 nucleotides) under Salmonella enterica subsp. enterica. RNAcentral describes it as "partial 23S ribosomal RNA". It matches the Rfam family "Bacterial large subunit ribosomal RNA", at positions 1918 to 2879 of the family's 2925-position model. The record is from RNAcentral. Lineage: Bacteria; Pseudomonadati; Pseudomonadota; Gammaproteobacteria; Enterobacterales; Enterobacteriaceae.
CCCCGGUAAACGGCGGCCGUAACUAUAACGGUCCUAAGGUAGCGAAAUUCCUUGUCGGGUAAGUUCCGACCUGCACGAAUGGCGUAAUGAUGGCCAGGCUGUCUCCACCCGAGACUCAGUGAAAUUGAACUCGCUGUGAAGAUGCAGUGUACCCGCGGCAAGACGGAAAGACCCCGUGAACCUUUACUAUAGCUUGACACUGAACAUUGAGCCUUGAUGUGUAGGAUAGGUGGGAGGCUUUGAAGUGUGGACGCCAGUCUGCAUGGAGCCGACCUUGAAAUACCACCCUUUAAUGUUUGAUGUUCUAACGUGGACCCGUAAUCCGGGUUGCGGACAGUGUCUGGUGGGUAGUUUGACUGGGGCGGUCUCCUCCUAAAGAGUAACGGAGGAGCACGAAGGUUGGCUAAUCCUGGUCGGACAUCAGGAGGUUAGUGCAAUGGCAUAAGCCAGCUUGACUGCGAGCGUGACGGCGCGAGCAGGUGCGAAAGCAGGUCAUAGUGAUCCGGUGGUUCUGAAUGGAAGGGCCAUCGCUCAACGGAUAAAAGGUACUCCGGGGAUAACAGGCUGAUACCGCCCAAGAGUUCAUAUCGACGGCGGUGUUUGGCACCUCGAUGUCGGCUCAUCACAUCCUGGGGCUGAAGUAGGUCCCAAGGGUAUGGCUGUUCGCCAUUUAAAGUGGUACGCGAGCUGGGUUUAGAACGUCGUGAGACAGUUCGGUCCCUAUCUGCCGUGGGCGCUGGAGAACUGAGGGGGGCUGCUCCUAGUACGAGAGGACCGGAGUGGACGCAUCACUGGUGUUCGGGUUGUCAUGCCAAUGGCACUGCCCGGUAGCUAAAUGCGGAAGAGAUAAGUGCUGAAAGCAUCUAAGCACGAAACUUGCCCCGAGAUGAGUUCUCCCUGAGACUUAGAGUCUCCUGAAGGAACGUUGAAGACGACGACGUUGAUAGGCCGGGUGUGUAAGCGCAGC